AUAGACUGCAACGGCCUGUGGCACCACCGUUACUACUGCACAUCUUCUUUGCCAUCCCACCCAUAUUCGCGUGCCCUUCGGUGCUGAUUUCCGUUGCUCGCGCACGAGUAGCGCAUCAUCGUCCAUAACUCACCAUAGACGCACACAUUCUGCCAGACACGCCUAAAGCUACCCUUCCCUCACACAGAUAGAUAUACGCACACACUCGUCCCAGGCCGAGAGAGAGGCACACACACGAACUCGUACACCGUCUGCGUACCCGAAAAGCGAAGGAAAAGACGACGCCACAUCCAAGCGGCAGCCGGUACAUGCACGCUUGCAUGUGCGUGAGUGUGUGUGUGUGUGUGUGUGUGUCUUUACGCCUCUGUGCGAGUGCACGUUGUUUCUUUUUUUCUUUUGUGAUUUUUUUUUUCUUUCUGCGCUUCCCUUCGUGAGGCUCACCACGCAUCCAUAGAUCAGAUUCCGCUCCCUCCGCCUUCUUGUCUUUUCCGCUCUGUCCUCCCCCGUCUCUUCUAUUCACCCUCCCGUUUCUCUGAUAACGCCGCCGAAAUCGGUCUCCCAAUGCAGAAGCCGCAGCAGAGUUUUACGACGCUGCAGCGCGCGGCGCGCGAUGGUGGUAGUGACAGCCACGCCAAAACGUGUGCUAGGCAAACGCCAGAGAACUGUGGGGUACUUCUAAAGGGCAGUCGAUCGCUGUCGCCGGCGCCGUGCUUUCCCGGCGAUGACAUAUCCCCCUCUGCGCGCCAGCAUUCGCAGCAGGAUCACCACCUCGCCGGCACACCAUUGAAGGACCAUCGCCCGCCAUCCUCGCAGCCUCGCGAGCCGUCUCAUGCGCCUCAAAGACGCCAUCCGCACAAGCAGCAGCAGCAGCUGAGCCCAGGCUUCAACCCACGCGGCUAUCGAGGCGACGGCGAGCGUGGCGUCAGCGGCAGUGGAGCCCCCAACGACUGGUGGCAGCGAACGACGCCUUUGAGCAGCAAGGCCUCUCCCCUUGGCAGCAAUACUCGUCCGCGCAAGCUGUCACCGUCGGGAAACUCACCCGACGAGGGCCGCCGUCGCAGUCAGCGUGAGAAGCAGAUUCAGUUCGGGUACGUCACGGACGGCUACACAAACAUGAAGCGGCUCAUCGCGCACGAUCCGCUGCUGAGGAGCGGCGGCAUCCUCCCGCUUUCGCCACCGGACGUUUUCAAGGGGAGCAAGCGCCUGUGGGACAUUCAACUCCGCAAGUGGCGUCGCGCACUGCACAUGUUCGAUUACGUCUUCAUCGAUGGCGAAGAUCGCCUGGAGACACGGGCGAAGGUGCUAGAGGAGCAGCGACGGCAGUGGGUAAGCGAGGCAUUCAACGAGAUGCCGCGUGAGGCGCGGCUGAAGAUCGACCUCGACACCCUGCGCGGCGUCCAGUGCUCCUCUGCCGUGCCGAGCAGAAUCCCCAUCGAGGAAGACCUGCGAUGCAUCCUGCGAAGCGACGACUGCUACGAGUCCGUCCGCAGCGUCGUACCGCAGAGUGCGUCGUCGCUGACCAAGGGCACCGACAUCAGCCCCCUCGAGGCGGGCAUCAAGAUCCACAUUGCGCCGUCGGCUGCGGUGCUGCAGCGGCAGCAGGCGCAACUCGAAAUGCAGCAGCGACUCUCCUCCCUUCACCAGCAACAGCAGCAACAGCAGGCUUUGGCAACAGAGGUGGCACCGGAAGGUAUGGAGACGGGCUCACACGUCCCGAGCGCCCCGCCAGUGCUAGGCGCAACGGUUGAGUGCGCGGCUGCCGAGCGACCCGUCGAGCUCUCACCAAGUCCGCGUCGUCCACCGCUGCCGCUGCCGUCCUCACCGUCCCCAUCGCAUGUCUCAUGCCCUUCUCCACAGCAGAAGGCGCGCGAGACGACGCCGCAUCGACAGCUCUGCUGCAGCCCACUCCCGCGCAUGACCGCAGCGCCAGUGCCCGCAGCAUUCGGCAGCGCUGAGACAGCCCCGGGGAUCUCGGCCAGUCAGCCUCGCGCCCUCUCUCUCUCGGGCAGCUCAGCGCCGGUGCAGGGUGCCUCACUGGGUUUGCCAGGCAUGUCGGCAACAGCUGCGGUGCUGGCGCCGCCCCCGCCGUUUUCCGGCCCUACACCUUGCAUCGUGCCGAACAUGUGGAUGCCCGGAGUGACCGUAUCGCCAACACCGGCAGCGGCAGCACGGCCGCUGAUGUCGUGGUGCAGUCACUGCGGUCAUUGUAUCGAUCUCCCAGCGCCGGCCAUCACUGGUGCGCCGUAUGGAGGCAUGUGUGCCGGUACCCCCGGCGGCCGCGGCGGAGUGCUGGAACCGGCCCAGGUGCCGCCACAGCACGUAAACCCAGUCGCCGUAGCCGGCACCAGUGGUGCCAUGAUGCCGCCGUCCAUGCAGUUCCGUGGUGCGAUGCCGUACAUGAGCCGUCCCACGAAUUCUAUGGCGGCGGCGGCGGUGGUCACCUCCCCUCUGUACUGGCAGAUGCUGGCACCGCCGGCUGCUGAGUGGAUUGAAGGCGGCGGCACCUUCACCGCGCACCACGGCAGCAGUCACAGCCAGUAUCGCCAGUCCGAGGCGCGGCAAGACGCCUUCGCAGCGAUGCCGCGCUCCGCCGCAACUGUAGCCGGGAGAUCGUGUCCGCGAGACGGGCACCGUCGUAGCAGCGGGGCCGUCGCUACAGGCGGCGGCGCGGCGACGCCGCAGACGGUGCCGCGGUUUGUCGCGCGACUCUCCACCUCGCCCAAUGAGGUACGACUCGGCGAGCGACAGUCCGCCGAACGCCUCCACAGCGCAGAAGUCGCCAGUGGUGUUAUGCCAGCGGUCACGAGGCCACUUGCCGCUGACACCAGAGCAGCAGCGGCAGCGCCAGCACCGCUACGGCAGCCAUCCUCUGUCUUCGAUGACGCCGCCGACGCUGCACGUAUGGAGAAAAGUCAGUCCGCAUUGGCGGUCACUCCUGAACGAAAGCUCUUCGGCACGGGCAUCAUCGCGGACGUGACGACAGAGUCGCGGCCGGUGGUCGUGGGGGCACUGCAGCAAGACGAGACACCGCAGGGCACACCGUCGGGCAAGCCGAGGCCGACUCGGGAGGUCGAGGAUGCGCCGGUGGUCCCUCUUGUCUUCGAUGGCGACGAGUAGAAGGAAGAAGAGGCAGUGGACCGCGUCUAGCCCAUAAGAGUCGGAGGGAAGAGGGGGACAGGCGCUCUGUCCGCCCACCUCUGCGUGCGUAUGUGUGUCCCUUUUCCUCCAUUACAGCCCGCUCUCCUCGUCCGCACGCGCAUAAGCGGAGCGGGCCAAGCAAAACACCACCGCUUCCGAGUGCGACCGCGGGAGGCGGGAGACGGAGGAGAACAGGCAGACCACCGUGCCCAUGCAUCUACGCACAUGCAAGCAUGGACGGUGCACCGCGUCCCUCUCAUCCCCCGCGACCGGCGUUUGGUUAGGGCUCUUCCUUUCGCUUUCCAUUGAUGUGGCAAGACACACGCGGACCGGUAAACACACACACACACACGUAUAUAUAUAUAUAUAUAUAUAUAUAGAUAUACAUGGGCAUGCACACACUCUUUCUGAGCGAUCGAGUUAUAGACAGAGGCGCCUUCUCCCACCGCCGACUCACCCCCUCCCUCCCCUGGUCGACAUCAUCCAGCGGGGGAAGAGGUGCGAAACGGCCCGCAACAACGACAAAGACCUCCUUUGCUCGGCCCUUUUCCUUCUUCACGCGUGUAUGCGUGUGUGCCGCGUGGCACUUUGGGGAAAGGGACGGGGCUGUGACGCGGAGGUCGUGGCGUACGUGCAUGUGGGUACCGCCCCUUAGAGAGCCGCCGGGCAUAUCCAGUGACGAAGGGAGUCAGACAGAGACGCAGGUGGACGGUGAGGCACAACAUUGGCGCAAGGUGGCCGCACACGCGCCGAGCGUGUAUAGCGCCAAUUCAGGGGCGAGGAAGGGAUGUGGUUGAUAUAUGAAGACACACGCACAUAGACAUACAGAGAGGACGGAAAAAACGAAAGCCCCUUUCUUUUCCUCCUUCUAUGACUGAUGUCUUUGUGUGUAGGGUUGGCGAGAGGAGAGGGCAAGUGCCGAAGGAGGCUGUCUAUGGCGCGUCUCUCGAUGAGGCGCCCUCCUCCGUAUUGGUUGCUUCUUUCCGCCCCCGCCCCCCCCUCUCCCUCCCUUUCUCCUUCUCCUCCCCGCCACCCUCGCUGUACUAUCUUCCCAUAUCAGACGGCCGUUGCUGCGUUCCUUCACGGCCUCCGUCUUUUCGCCUUUUGCGCAGCGGUGCGCUGACGCGGGUACCUCAUCACCCGUUUUGUUUGUUGCAGAUGUCUGUCCCCACCUACUGCAUGCGCCCUCUUUGCUGUCGUGGGAUGAUGUCAUUGGCCUACAUGAAUGGCAUGCAUGCGCACAUCCUCACAUGUGUGUGCGUGUCUGCGUUCCUCCUCCUCCGACACAAUGGUUCUAGCGGCAAGCAACAACAG
Molecule: unclassified non-coding RNA, 4452 nt
Filed under: Leishmania donovani
Lineage: Eukaryota; Euglenozoa; Kinetoplastea; Trypanosomatida; Trypanosomatidae
Description: gene:LdHU3.25.1220(CDS-product:Histone_RNA_hairpi n-binding_protein_RNA-binding_domain_containing_protein_put ative)
Source: RNAcentral